Paramormyrops kingsleyae is the source of this 3224-nucleotide non-coding RNA. The record is from RefSeq and is a predicted model, not a curated record. NCBI's taxonomy places the organism in Eukaryota, Metazoa, Chordata, Actinopteri, Osteoglossiformes, Mormyridae.
ACGUGGUCAAAGAGCUGUAUGUGGCUUGCGAACCGCAGGUUACCGACUCCUGACAACUGGUAUGCAAGUACGCAUUCACCUUUAAACCUCUACACCGCAAAUGAAGUAUGAAUUAGCAUAUAACGGUUAGAAUGCACGGUAAUUUCUUGUUAUAUCGGUGCAAAUGCACAUAAGGUAGGUACGUAUGUAUUUGCGCUGUUACAUUAAUCGAUUGCCGCACGUAUCGCUUUUGGAGGUGAAUGCGUCUUUUGUACCAGUUAUGUCCAACCCUGUCUAUAACAAGAAGUGGCUAUUACUCUGUUUACUUUUAUUGAUAGUGUCAUAAGUGUACUAGUAUAAAAUCCUUGCAAAUGGCAGUUUUUCUUUGUUCCCUGUCUUUUUCAAGCUUAGUGGAGAUUAAUAGUAAUUAAAGUGUCCUUUAAUUUGGGUAAUAAAUAAUUUUUCCUCACUGUACCAUCUGUACCAUUCCUUUGGAUUUUGACAAAUAGCAUGGCUUCCUAUUGGGCAAAAAGGAGAAGGGUCUUAAAAAGCACAAAUGAAACAGAAAAUGAUAUUUUAAAUAAUUUUGAAUCAGCUAUUGCAUGUCAGUGUAUAAAUGCUCCCUCCAGUGAAACUCUUCAUGAUACAUUUUGUCUGAUUACUGAUGAAAAUGAGUCUGAUAGUCACACAACUCAAAAUGACUCAGAAGUGCAAAGUGCAACUCCCAGCAAUUCAUCAGAUCUGGAUGAGGGUGAAUUUUGUCAGGAAGGAGAGCUUAAUUUUAAAUUGAGGCACUGGGCUAAAACAUUUUCUGUUCCACUUGUUGCUCUGACUUCUCUUCUUUGCAUUCUACAAGUCUACCAUCCUCAGUUGCCAAAAGAUGCAAGAACAUUACUUGGCACACAGUCUAGAGUUAUAGUGAAACGUGUAGGUGGUGGGGAAUAUUACCACUUCGGUUUAGAGAAAGGGUUGAUCUCAAAAUUGCAGUCCAUCCAAUUGCCUGACUUGUUGAACACAAUAAAGAUGCAGUUCAACAUAGAUGGUCUGCCUUUAUUCAAGAGCUCUAAACUUCAGUUUUGGCCAAUUCUGUCAAUGAUUGACUGCGACUACACAAAGACACCCUUCAUUGUUGGCCUCUUUUGCGGAUCAGGAAAACCACACAGCGUAUUUGAAUAUUUAAAGGAUUUUGUGGAUGACCUCUCCAAAUUGUUAGUUAAUGGUGUGACCUAUGAUGGUAAAACCUUGAGGGUCAUUGUGUCAUCCUUUGUGUGUGAUGCUCCAGCACGUUCGUUUAUUAAACAGGUUAAGUCUCACAAUGGCUAUUCAGGAUGUGACAAAUGCCAUCAAGUUGGUGAGUGGCGAAAUAAGAUGACAUAUAAAGAGACCACAGUGAGAAAAAGGGCUGAUGAUGAGUUUUUUGAAAUGGUGGAUCAAGAUCAUCAUCUAGGUCAUAGUCCACUCACUGGGAUAGUGAAGAUGGUGUCAAUGUUCCCCAUUGACUAUAUGCAUCUCUGCUGUCUAGGCGUCACUAGAAAACUAAUACAUUUUUGGUUGAGAGGUAAAAAUUUGUUGACACGAUUACCUUCCAGAGUAGUUUCUGCAGUGUCUGAGAAACUGGUUAAUCUUCGCCCAUACACACCUUCAGAAUUUGCUCGAAAGCCUCGUGAAUUGAGUGAAAUAGACCGCUGGAAAGCAACAGAAUUGCGUCAGUUUAUGAUUUACACAGGUCCUGUGGUUCUUAGAGGCAACCUUCCAGAAGAGCUGUAUGACAACUUCAUGCUAUUUUCUGUCGGCAUGUUCUUGCUGCUGUGCCCCGGUCUUUCAGCCUCAAUGAUUGACUUUGCUCACAGACUGAUGGUGGCCUUUGUUGAUCACUUUGGCCAGUUGUAUGGCCAGGAUGAAGUGGUGUUUAGCAUACACCAACUGAUACAUUUGUCUGAUGAGUAUUGGCUGCUUGGCCCUCUUGACAAUGUGUCAUCUUUUCCAUAUGAAAGUUUCCUUGGGAAAAUUAAAAAAAUGUUAAGAAAGCCAAAUCAGCCAUUACAACAAAUUGUGAAAAGGCUUUCUGAGGUUCCAAGUGUUUUUGUCCAGCCCCAUAGUGAACAGACUGAAUUACUGGAACUUCAUCAGAAAGGUCCAUUGCCAUUUCAGUUAAGCUCUGUUCAGCAGUACAAAAGAAUCGUAACCAGGGAUUUUUCAUUUUCAACACAUAAGGGAGACAACUGUGUCAUAAUAGGGAGUAAAAUUGCUUUGGUGCAAAACAUACUGAAAUCCGAUGCAGUCUGUGUGGUUUAUCAGAAGUUUAAGAAUUGUCAGUCGUUCUUUUCGUAUCCCUGCCCCUCAUCGUUAAUUAAUUGUUACCUGGUUGAUGGAUUGGAUGAAGAGUUUGCUGUGGGAAAUCUGAUGAAUAUUAACAGGAAAUGUGUGUUGUUCCCAUAUAAUGAGAGUUUUAUUGCAAUUCCUCUACUUCACCUAAACAUGAGCUUUUGAUUUGAUACUAGUAUACACACAAUUUAUAGUAAGCUUUUUUCUUGUUAUAAUCCUUGACACAUUCAGAAAUACAAAGGACAUGGUACAGUUGUGGAAAGUGGUGGAGUUUGAGGACAAAGGUACAGCUAUUGCACCAUCCAACUGGCUGAAUGAGACGGAUAAUGAGAAGACAUGCUACUGGCCACCAUUUGAUGGGCAGCGACUUCAUAAGGCUGUCAUAGACCACAUCCUACCAGAACAGGGCUGGUCCAUUCACAGGCAUAUAAGAGUGUUGGCAAGCUGUGGUAAGUAUAACCUUAAUUUUUUAUUUUCUUUAAAAAAAAAAAAAAAAAAAACCAUUUUAACUCAAAACUUACUUUUUAUGCUUCCAGUAUCAUAUGAUAAAGCCAAACAAUGUCUCAAGAAGUCUGUACAGGUACAACCAGAUUGCCCAACAACAGACAUUCAGUCAGAUGAAGAAAUGGCUGUGAGGCAGAAAAGAAGAGCGAAGCCUAAUCCCCGAUACAUGGGGGACAGUGACGAUGAUUAUAAUGACAAACAUGCUCCCAAAAGAAGAGUUCCCCAACCUAAAGUUGUUAUGCCAGUCCAAGGCCUUGCACAGCCUGAACAACACAACUGGUAUUGCACCUCACAGCGCCCCAGCAAUGAUUGGAACACUGACAGAUGGCAAAAUGAAAAUCACCAAAGAGGUAAAUAUGGUCUUAUUGUUUAGUUAUAGCCAUGUGGUAACUUGGCAGAGCCUUUUAAAAUAUCUG